RNAcentral lists this ribosomal RNA (460 nucleotides) under uncultured bacterium. Its description in RNAcentral is "partial 16S ribosomal RNA". It matches the Rfam family "Bacterial small subunit ribosomal RNA", at positions 338 to 795 of the family's 1533-position model. The record is from RNAcentral.
CCUACGGGAGGCAGCAGUGAGGAAUCUUGGUCAAUGGGCGCUAGCCUGAACCAGCCAAGUAGCGUGAAGGAUGACUGCCCUCUUGGUUGUAAACUUCUUUUAUAUGGGAAUAAAGUGCAGCAUGUAUACUGCUUUGCAUGUACCUUAUGAAUAAGGAUCGGCUAACUCCGUGCCAGCCGCCGCGGUAAUACGGAGUGUCCGAGCGUUAUCCGGGUUUAUUGGGUUUAAAGGGAGCGUAGGCGGGUUGUUAAGUCAGUUGUGAAAGUUUGCGGCUCAACCGUAAAAUUGCAGUUGAUACUGGCAGCCUUGAGUACAGUAGAGGUAGGCGGAAUUCGUGGUGUAGCGGUGAAAUGCGUAGAUAUCACGAAGAACUCCGAUUGCGAAGGCAGCCUGCUGGACUGUAACUGACGCUGAUGCUCGAAAGUGUGGGUAGCAAACAGGAUCAGAUACCCGAGUAGUC